CCGAUUCUGACCAAACAACUCACACAGUUUUUUAAUUUCAAAUCCCUAAAACCAUUUCCCUCUCUCACCCCUCUAGCUGCAUCUCCGUUCGGGAAGUUCGCGGAUGAGAUUCUCUCUCAACCACCUCUCUCACUGCAUCUCUCACACCGCUUUCUACUGUCAAUGAGGGAAAGACCCUAGCGGUCCCUUAAAAAAAGCAUUUCCCUCGCACGAUUCUCUCUCUCUCACCCCUCUCGCUGCAUCUCUGCUCAGGAAGUUCGCGGGUUGCGAUUCUCUCUCUCACCCCUCUCACUGCAUCUCUCACACCGCUCUCUGCUGCCGUGGAGGGAAAGACCCUAGCGGUUUGCUCUGAUCACGAAGGUCUCGCCCUGCUCCGCGAAGGUCUCUCUGCGGCUGGAAAGUUAGGUUUCUCUGCGACUAGAAGCAGCAGAGACGAGGCAAAACCAACCCUUCUGAGUUUUACAUAUUCUUCCUCAUCUGGGUUCACAAUCCCUUACUCAAAACUGCCUCUGAUGGUGAAAUCAAUGGCCUCUGGUUUAUAUCAAAUUAGGAUCUGUCAAGGGGAUGUGGUUUCAAUUCUAUUAGCCAGCAACAUUUACUUUCCUAUUAUAUACUUGGGUAACUUGUCCAUUGGUGCCAUUGCCACUGCCAUUAAUCCUCUCAAUGGUCUCCCUGAGAUACAAAAGCAAUUGAACCAAUGCUUAAGAAGAAAUGGUAAGCAGCAAAAUGGGAGAUGCUACUACAGUAACUCUUUUGAUGGGUGUGGGGGUCUCAAGGAAAUGAAGAAAGGGUUGGAAACUCUGUUUUGUCUACUGGUCAGGGUAAGUAAGAACCUGUUGAUUGGGUAUUUAUUCUGUGUUUUGAGUUUUAUGGGUUUGUUAAUUAUAUUUGUUCAUUAAGUUCUAACCCUUGAACACAGGUAACAAAAACUUGAAGAGAAUCAAGUAUGGAUCUCAUAGAUUUUUAAGUUCCUGGUUUCAAUGAAGUGGGUUUCUGUGAUAAUCUUGUUAUUUUGGAGCUUGGACUAAUAAUUGAGUGGAAAAUGUGGUGACAAGGAACAGGUGAACAGAAGAGGAGUUGCAAGGAUGGAUGGAUAGGGCUUGCAGAUAAUGCAAGAGCAAGGGUUAACACACAUUAAACUAUGGAGGAACUACUGGCAGAUAUGGUUUACAAUCUGAUGGUUGCCUUAUGUGACUUGACUUUUACAGGUAAAGUCAGCUGGCAGAUAUGGCUUACAAUCUGGUAAUUCCCACGACAUGGAAUUUUGUCAUAUAGCAAUGUGUUUGUGAAUUGCUUUUUAUUAUUGGGUAUCUUAUAGGCAUCUCUGAUGCUGCCGGCAGAAAUAGGAAGGGGAAACAAUGCUGAUUGGUUCCUUGUUUUAGGCCAGUUUUGUGCAACCUGUAACUCUUUAUUUAUUUCUCAUCUCUGCUCAUCUGUCCUCAAAUUCCCUACCAAUGAACUUUUUGUUCCAGUUAUGAUUACAUACCCAUUUCAUUUCCUACUAGUGACUCUACACUUUCAGUUGAAUGAUUUCAUAGCCAUUUCAUUACCUUGCUGUGAUCUGGCCGCAAGCUAUAUUCAGUCCAAUUACACCCUGCUAUAUGUAACUCUCAUUUCCCAUUUCAUAUUCAGUCCAAUUACAUACCCAUUUCAUUUCCUACUAGUGACCCUGUGUUUGGCCAUUAAAUUUUCUAUUUCGUAAAGGAGAAUUUAAUAGAUCGUUUUUCCUGGAGUUCAAAGAAAAUAUUUCACAUAUCAACAUAAAAAUAUUUUACUGAUUCCAUCAGAAUUCCGGAUAUUCUAAGUCCUGACAGAGGCAUCUAUUGAGCUACAAGCCUACAACAUUACAUUUGCAGAGGAGCAACUUCCUUAUCCACUUUGUCACUAUAGUAGGUUCCUCUAAAUAUUUUCAGGCUGGAAGAGCUCUUCCUUUUUCCCUUUCUUGAUUGCAUUAUGGAACCCAGUAAUCUGAGAAUUUCAGGGAGGUUUUGUUAUAUAAGAAAUGAUAAAGAAGCUUUUCUGGCCUGAAUGGACCAAUAGGAAGGACUUUGUCUAUUAUCUCAGGCCCAUUCAUAUGAUUUAUCUCUAAGUACAUUAUUACUGGGAAAAAAAAUACAAAAACAAAGAUUUCUUCAA
Macadamia integrifolia is the source of this 2136-nucleotide long non-coding RNA. RefSeq lists it as uncharacterized. The transcript has 2 exons. The record is from RefSeq and is a predicted model, not a curated record. NCBI's taxonomy places the organism in Eukaryota, Viridiplantae, Streptophyta, Magnoliopsida, Proteales, Proteaceae.